CCUACGGGGGGCAGCAGUGGGGGAUAUUGGACAAUGGGGGGAACCCUGAUCCAGCGACGCCGCGUGAGUGAAGAAGUAUUUCGGUAUGUAAAGCUCUGUCAGCAGGGAAGAAAGAAAUGACGGUACCUGACCAAGAAGCCCCGGCUAACUACGUGCCAGCAGCCGCGGUAAUACGUAGGGGGCAAGCGUUAUCCGGAAUUACUGGGUGUAAAGGGAGCGUAGACGGUUAAGUAAGUCUGGAGUGAAAGGCCGGGGCCCAACCCCGGGACUGCUCUGGAAACUAUUGAACUUGAGUACAGGAGAGGUAAGCGGAAUUCCUGGUGUAGCGGUGAAAUGCGUAGAUAUUACGAGGAACACCAGUGGCGAAGGCGGCUUACUGGACUGUAACUGACGUUGAGGCUCGAAAGCGUGGGGAGCAAACAGGAUUAGAUACCCUUGUAGUC
This 443-nucleotide ribosomal RNA is filed under the name uncultured bacterium. Its description in RNAcentral is "partial 16S ribosomal RNA". It matches the Rfam family "Bacterial small subunit ribosomal RNA", at positions 338 to 795 of the family's 1533-position model. The record is from RNAcentral.